RNAcentral lists this transfer RNA (99 nucleotides) under Terriglobia bacterium. RNAcentral describes it as "tRNA-Sec". It matches the Rfam family "Selenocysteine transfer RNA". Lineage: Bacteria; Pseudomonadati; Acidobacteriota; Terriglobia. The record is from RNAcentral.
GGGGGCGAAAGGGGUCCGGUGACUCUCCCGGCCUUCAAAGCCGGCGAUCCCUGCCAUCGAGGCAGGAAUGGUGGAUUCGACUUCCACACGCCUCCGCCA